CGACCCCAGCUCAGGUGAGAACACUCGUUGAGUUUAAGCAUAUAAUUAAGUGGAGGAAAAGAAACUUACAAGGAUUCCCCUAUUAACGACGAGUGAAGUGGGAAGAGCCUAGCAUGAAAAUUGGGUGGCAGCGUCACCUAAAUUGUAGUUUGUAGAAGCAUCCUUAGCGAUGGACCGGGCCCAAGUCCCCUAGAAGGGUGCGCCUAAGAGGGUGAUAGCCCCAUUAGGUCGGGACCCUGCCACACCAUGAGGCGUUGUCAGCGAGUUAGGUUGUUUGGGAAUGUAGCCCUAAUCGGGUGAAAAUUUUUGUCCAAGGCUAAAUAUGGGUGAGAGACUGAUAGAAAACAAGUACCGUGAGGGAAAUAUGAAAAGGGAUUUGAAAAGAGAGUUAAAGAAUGCUUGAAAUUUUCGAGAGGGAAGCAAGUGGAAGCUGGCGAUGUGUCUCGGUCAGAUGCAGAACAAAUCAAGUUGGUCCGCCGCUGGACUCAAGGUGUGAACCAGCACAAGUCGUUGCAUAGACACAAGCGCAGGUGGAGUACUUCCUAUUGGUUUUCCAUUUUGGCGGUUGAGGAAUGAAGCAUGCGCCCUUGGGGCAGGCCACUGUGCACCUGCACGCUCGUAGUGUUGGUUGGCGGGCUUUCCAUUCAACCUUUCUUGAAACACGGACCAAGGAGUCUAACAUGUGUGUGAGUCGGUGGGUUUGUAAACCUGCGAGGUGUAAUGAAGCUUACGGGAGAGAACCCCUCUCCAUGGGGUGCAUUUCUGACUGACCUUGAGCUUGUACGAAGGGUUCAAGUGCGAGCACACCUGUUGGGACUCGAAAGAUGGUGAACUAUGCCUGAGUAGGGUGAAGCCAGAGGAAACUCUGGUGGAUUCCCGUAGCAAUACUGACGUGAAAAUCGUUCAUUUGACUUGGGUAUAGGGGCGAAAGACUAAUCGAACCAUCUAGUAUCUGGUUUCCUCUGAAGUUUCCCUCAGGAUAGUUGGAGCUCACGUGCGAGUUUUAUCGGGUAAAGCAAAUGAUUAGAGGCAUUGGUGGUGUAACGCCCUUGACCUAUUCUCAAACUUUAAAUAGGUAAGACAAUGCAGAUGCUCCAUUGAGCCGUGCCAUGAAAUGGAGAGCUCCAAGUGGGCCAUUUUUGGUAAGCAGAACUAGCGAUGCAGGAUGAACCGAAAUUUGAAUUACGGUGCCAAACUGCACGCUAACCUAGAUCCCACAAAGGGUGUUGGUUGAUUAAGAUAGCAGAAUGAUGGUCAUGGAAGUCAAAAUCUGCUAAGGGGUGUGUAACAAAUCACCUGCCGAAUCAUCUAGCCCCAAAAAUGGAUGGCGUUGAAGCGCACAACCUAUACUCGACCAUUGGAGAAAUUGCCAGGCUUUGAUGAGUAUGAGGACAUAGGGGUCAUUGAGAAACAUUGGGCAUGAGCCUGGGUGGACCGAUCCCCGAUGCAGAUCUUGGUGGUAGUAGAAAAUAUUCAAAUGAGAACUUUGAAGACUAAACUGGAGAAAGGUUCCAUGUGAACAACACUUGGACAUGGGUUAGUCGAUCCUUAGAGAUGGGGAAGCCCUGUAUCAAGGGUGCACUCUGCACGAACAUCGAAAGGGAAUUGGGUUAAUAUUCUCGAACCGGAACAUGGCGACAGACGAAAAUGUUAGGAAAUCCAUAGACGUCGUCGGGGGCCCCGGGAAGAGUUAUCUUUUCUUUUUAUAGCUUGCCCACCCUGAAAUCAGCGCAACCAGAGAUAGGGUCCAACAGCUGGAAGAGAAUCGUACAUCUUGUGGUGUCUGGUGUGCCCUCGGUGGCCCUUGAAAAUUUGGAGGACCGAGUACCAUCCAUGCCCAGUCUUACUCAUAACCACAUUAGGUAUCCAAGGUGAAAAGACUCUGGUCAAUAGAACAAUGUAGGUAAGGGAAGAUGGAAAAACGGAUCCGUAACUUCGGGAAAAGGAUUGGCUCUGAGGGCUAGGCCUAGAGGUCUGCAUCCUCAACCCGUGGGCUGUUGAUAGUCUUCCCAAGCUGCUAUCGUGGUGAGGGCGGGAAGUCAUGUGUUGAUUGGGCUACUGACAUAGAAUGUCCUCUCGCGGGGGCUUUUCCCUAGGAAAUGAACAGUCGACUCAAAACUGGUACAAACAAGGGGAAUCCGACUGUUUAAUUAAAACAAAGCAUUGUGAUGGUCCCUGCAGAUGCUGACGCAAUGUGAUUUCUGCCUAGUUCUCUAAAUUUCAAAUUGAAGAAAUUUAACCAAGCGCGGGUAAACGUCGGAAGUAACUAUGACUGUCUUAAGGUAGCCAAAUGCCUCGUCAUCUAAUUAGUGAUGUGCAUGAAUGGAUUAACGAGAUUCCCACUAUCCCUAUAUACUAUCUAGCGAAACCACAACCAAGGGAAUGGGCUUGGCAGAAUCAGCGGGGACAGAAGACCCUAUUGAGCUUGACUCUAGUCUGACUUUGUGAAAUGAAUUGAGAGGUGUAGAAUAAGUGGAAGUCGUUUUCGGUGCAAGUGAAAUACCACUACUUUUAAUGUUAUUUUACUUAUUCUGUGCGGUGGAGACGGGGCAUUGCCCCUAUUUUUUUCCUUAAGACACAUUUUGACGAGUUGAUCCGGGUGAAAGAUAGUGUCAGCUGGGGAGUUUGGCUAGGGCAACACCUAUGUUAAAAGAUAAUGCGAGUGUCCUAAAAUGAGCUCAAGGAGAACAAAAAUCUCGUGUGGAACAAAAGGGUAAAAGCUCAUUUGCUUUUGAUUUUCAGUACGAAUACAAACCGUGAAAGCGUGGCCUAUCGAUCCUUUAGAAUUUUAGAAUUUGAAGCUAGAGAUGUCAGAAAAUUUACCACAGGGAUAACUAGCUUAUGGUAGCCAAGCGUUCAUAGCGACGUUUCUUUUUUAUCCUUCGAUGUUGGCUCUUCCUAUCAUUGUGAAGCAAAAUUCACCAAGUGUUGGAUUGUUCACCCACCAAUAGGGAACGUGAGUUGGGUUUAGACCGUCAUGAGACAGGUUAGUUUUACCCUACUGAUGAACCAUGCCACAAUAGUAAUUCAACUUAGUACGAGAGGAACCGUUGAUUCAGACAAUUGGUCAUCGCGCUUGGUUGAAAAGCCAAUGGCGCAAAGCUACCAUGUGUCAGAUUAUGAAUCAAUGCCUCUCAGUCAAAAUCCACGCUAGAAGCGAUGCUUGUCACUCCUCGACUAUAUCUUGACCUGCAGUAGGGGUGUCACUUCGGAACCCCCAGGGGCUCGUGUCACUUGCGAAUCUCAGCCAGGAAGCAUCUCGGUCGAGGCAUAUUUGAAGUUCAAUUUCAAAUGGUUGUUGAGAAGAAUCCUUUGUAGAUGAAUUAAACACAGGAUGGGGUAUUAUAAGUGGCAGAGUGGCCUUACUUCCACGAUCCACUGAGAUUCACCCCUUCAUCACCUCGAUUCAG
Molecule: non-coding RNA, 3410 nt
Organism: Picea glauca (white spruce)
Lineage: Eukaryota; Viridiplantae; Streptophyta; Pinopsida; Pinales; Pinaceae
Source: Rfam